This 203-nucleotide long non-coding RNA is filed under the name Malus domestica (apple). Its description in RNAcentral is "long non-coding RNA (MDOM_LNC015939)". The record is from RNAcentral. Lineage: Eukaryota; Viridiplantae; Streptophyta; Magnoliopsida; Rosales; Rosaceae.
GCCUUUUAGGGUUGCCAAAAGCUCUCAAAAAUGGUAGAAUAUGGGGUAUUUAUAGGGUUAGGGCCAGCUAUAUAAGGUUUAAUGGAGAAAUAUUCUCUAAAUAUUCCCAAGAUAUUUAAUAGGAGCUAAUAUCUUGAGAUAAUAGGAUAAUAAUCCUUAAUUGAUUUAAAUUAGGAUUACUUACUUGAUUGGAGUCAAUCUUC